Molecule: non-coding RNA, 297 nt
Organism: Paralichthys olivaceus (Japanese flounder)
Lineage: Eukaryota; Metazoa; Chordata; Actinopteri; Pleuronectiformes; Paralichthyidae
Source: RefSeq, a predicted model, not a curated record
UGAGUGAAGUGAGGACCGAGUUCAGCUCCAGAAGCUGUAAGAGGAAUUACUCUGAAUCUGCAGACAGAACCAUCAACUGCACCAGGAUGACUGAGCGCUGUAACCUCCUGAUGGAGGCGCCCUUCACCACCUGCCACAACCACACCCACCCAGAGCCCUUCAUCACKGCCUGCACCAACACUCUGUGCAAAUAUCCUGUGGUGGACGGUUUKAGCCAGUGCCAGUUCCUGGACGCUUAUGUCAGAGCCUGCAACUUCCAGACCAAUGACACACUGGAGGGCUGGAGGUCAAAGGCCG